GGACAACAUAGGAAUCUGCCCUGGGGUCGGGGAUAGCGUCGGGAAACUGACGGUAAUACCCGAUAACAUCUGCGGAUCAAAGGAGCAAUUCGCCCUGGGAUGAGCCUAUGCCCCAUUAGCUAGUUGGCGGUGUAAUGGACCACCAAGGCUGUGAUGGGUAGCUGGUGUGAGAGCACGACCAGCCUCACUGGCACUGAGACACUGGCCAGACACCUACGGGUGGCUGCAGUCGAGAAUCUUCGGCAAUGGACGAAAGUCUGACCGAGCGACGCCGCGUGCGGGAUGAAGGUCUUCGGAUUGUAAUCCGCUGUCGAGGGGGAUUAAGGGCAACUUGAAUGAACCCUGGAGGAAGGGGAGGCUAAGCUCGUGCCAGCAGCCGCGGUAAGACGAGCUCCCCAAACGUUAUUCGGUAUCACUGGGCUUAAAGAGUUCGUAGGCGGCGAAGUAGGUGAGGUGUGAAAGCCCUCGGCUCAACCGAGGAACUGCGCUUCAAACCGCUUUGCUAGAGGGAGAUAGGGGUAAGCGGAACAGAUGGUGGAGCGGUGAAAUGCAUUGAUAUCAUCUGGAACACCGGUGGCGAAAGCGGCUUACUGGAUCCUUUCUGACGCUGAGGAA
RNAcentral lists this ribosomal RNA (615 nucleotides) under uncultured bacterium. Its description in RNAcentral is "bacterial SSU rRNA". It matches the Rfam family "Bacterial small subunit ribosomal RNA", at positions 110 to 753 of the family's 1533-position model. The record is from RNAcentral.